RNAcentral lists this ribosomal RNA (368 nucleotides) under uncultured organism. RNAcentral describes it as "bacterial SSU rRNA". It matches the Rfam family "Bacterial small subunit ribosomal RNA", at positions 526 to 896 of the family's 1533-position model. The record is from RNAcentral.
CGGAGGAUCCAAGCGUUAUCCGGAUUCAUUGGGUUUAAAGGGUGCGUAGGCGGAAUGAUAAGUCAGUGGUGAAAGCCUGCAGCUUAACUGCAGAACUGCCAUUGAUACUGUCAAUCUUGAGUACAUUUGAUGAGGGCGGAAUGUGUCAUGUAGCGGUGAAAUGCUUAGAUAUGACACAGAACACCGAUUGCGAAGGCAGCUCUCAAGACUGUAACUGACGCUGAGGCACGAAAGCGUGGGUAUCAAACAGGAUUAGAUACCCUGGUAGUCCACGCUGUAAACUAUGAUUACUCGAUGUUUGCGAUAUACUGUAAGCGUCUAAGCGAAAGCGAUAAGUAAUCCACCUGGGGAGUACGCUCGCAAGAGUG